Molecule: ribosomal RNA, 429 nt
Filed under: Chloroflexota bacterium
Lineage: Bacteria; Bacillati; Chloroflexota
Description: Chloroflexi bacterium partial 16S ribosomal RNA
Rfam family: Bacterial small subunit ribosomal RNA
Source: RNAcentral
UGGGGAAUAUUGCACAAUGGGCGCAAGCCUGAUGCAGCCAUGCCGCGUGUAUGAAGAAGGCCUUCGGGUUGUAAAGUACUUUCAGUCGGGAGGAAGGUGGUAAGGUUAAUAACCUUAUCAAUUGACGUUACCGACAGAAGAAGCACCGGCUAACUCCGUGCCAGCAGCCGCGGUAAUACGGAGGGUGCAAGCGUUAAUCGGAAUUACUGGGCGUAAAGCGCACGCAGGCGGUUGAUUGAGUCAGAUGUGAAAUCCCCGGGCUCAACCUGGGAACUGCAUCUGAUACUGGCAAGCUUGAGUCUCGUAGAGGGGGGUAGAAUUCCAGGUGUAGCGGUGAAAUGCGUAGAGAUCUGGAGGAAUACCGGUGGCGAAGGCGGCCCCCUGGACGAAGACUGACGCUCAGGUGCGAAAGCGUGGGGAGCAAACUGG